AGGACGAACGCUGGCGGCGUGCUUAACACAUGCAAGUCGAGCGGAAAGGCCCUUCGGGGUACUCGAGCGGCGAACGGGUGAGUAACACGUGAGCAACCUGCCCUUGGCUCUGGGAUAGCCUCCGGAAACGGGGAUUAAUACCGGACAUUCACUUUCUCCUGCAUGGGGGUCGGUGGAAAGUUUUUCGGCCAGGGAGAGGCUCGCGGCCUAUCAGCUUGUUGGCGGGGUAACGGCCCACCAAGGCGACGACGGGUAGCCGGCCUGAGAGGGGCGAGUCGGCCACACUGGGACUGAGACACGGCCCAGACUCCUACGGGAGGCAGCAGUGGGGAAUAUUGCACAAUGGGCGCAAGCCUGAUGCAGCGACGCCGCGUGGGGGAUGAAGGCCUUCGGGUUGUAAACCCUUUCACCAGGAGCGAAUUCAGACGGUACCUGGGGAAGAAGCGCCGGCUAACUACGUGCCAGCAGCCGC
RNAcentral lists this ribosomal RNA (472 nucleotides) under uncultured bacterium. Its description in RNAcentral is "SSU rRNA". It matches the Rfam family "Bacterial small subunit ribosomal RNA", at positions 26 to 518 of the family's 1533-position model. The record is from RNAcentral.